RNAcentral lists this ribosomal RNA (425 nucleotides) under uncultured bacterium. RNAcentral describes it as "bacterial SSU rRNA". It matches the Rfam family "Bacterial small subunit ribosomal RNA", at positions 355 to 776 of the family's 1533-position model. The record is from RNAcentral.
UGAGGAAUCUUGCGCAAUGGGCGAAAGCCUGACGCAGCAACGCCGCGUGUGUGAUGAAGGCCCUAGGGUUGUAAAGCACUGACCAGAGGAAAGAACAAACGGGAUUAAUCUCCCGUCCUGACGGUACCUCUGAAGAAAGCACCGGCUAACUCCGUGCCAGCAGCCGCGGUAAUACGGAGGGUGCGAGCGUUGUUCGGAAUUACUGGGCGUAAAGGGCGUCUAGGCGGACUGGUAAGUCAGAUGUGAAAGCCCUCGGCUUAACCGGGGAGGUGCAUCUGAAACUGCCAGACUUGAGUACUGGAGGGGGCAGCGGAAUUCCCGGUGUAGAGGUGAAAUUCGUAGAUAUCGGGAGGAACACCAGUGGCGAAGGCGGCUGCCUGGCCAGAUACUGACGCUAAAGCGCGAAAGCGUGGGGAGCAAACAGG